This 211-nucleotide small RNA is filed under the name Afipia sp. Root123D2. RNAcentral describes it as "Bradyrhizobiaceae sRNA BjrC174". It matches the Rfam family "Bradyrhizobiaceae sRNA BjrC174". The record is from Rfam by way of RNAcentral. Lineage: Bacteria; Pseudomonadati; Pseudomonadota; Alphaproteobacteria; Hyphomicrobiales; Nitrobacteraceae.
CUCACGUCGAAGUUAAACAAAUCAUAAUGCUGCCAGAAUUCGGACAAUCCGCCGCCGCUCUGGAUUGCGAUCAAAUCCAUACUGCGUUGGCCCGGUCCUUUCGGUACCGGAUUCCUCAGCCCCCAGCCCCCCGGGGUCGGCAGGACCGGGUCUUAAUUUCCCGCAGUGAGAUAAUCCCCAAUCCUGCGGGCCAGCGUCAGUUGGCCCUUUU